GACUCUUAGUGGUGGAUCACUCGGCUCGUGCUUCGAUGAAGCAGCUAGCUGAGAGAAUUAAUGUGAAUUGCAGGACAAAAAACAAACAAACAAAAAUUUUAGGCCCUCAAAUCAAACGUCACACAACUGUCAGGGAGACA
Molecule: ribosomal RNA, 140 nt
Organism: Otolemur garnettii (small-eared galago)
Lineage: Eukaryota; Metazoa; Chordata; Mammalia; Primates; Galagidae
Rfam family: 5.8S ribosomal RNA
About the family: 5.8S ribosomal RNA (5.8S rRNA) is a component of the large subunit of the eukaryotic ribosome. It is transcribed by RNA polymerase I as part of the 45S precursor that also contains 18S and 28S rRNA. Functionally, it is thought that 5.8S rRNA may be involved in ribosome translocation.
Source: Ensembl